This 407-nucleotide long non-coding RNA is filed under the name Callithrix jacchus (white-tufted-ear marmoset). Its description in RNAcentral is "lncRNA (ENSCJAG00000072703.1)". The record is from RNAcentral. Lineage: Eukaryota; Metazoa; Chordata; Mammalia; Primates; Cebidae.
UUCCCAAAGUUUUCAAAGCCAGCCUAACAAUGCAUUAGCAUCAUAUUUAGCGGAUCCUGCCAGUGUUAAAUCCUGUGUUAAGGAGGAGGGUUACCACACUGAUAAACACUUUUUGUAUUGAAUAUUGUGUAUUAUGCUCAAUGCCCCUUAAUUCUGCACACUUAGAAUCCAGUUCCAUAAUUUCUCCCCUAGAGACUCUAAUAUACAUGUAGCCUGUGUCUCAUUUGGUCUAAGUCAUUUUCCUCCCUUUGCAGGCCUGAUGCUCACAGAACUUGUCUGUGUUGUCACUUGACCCUACUUAUUGGUCUGGCUGACUGGGGACAGGAGCGCUACAUCCAGAGGAUGAAAUAUGCAGAAAAAUCUCCAUAGUAAUGAAUUGAUGGAUCAGCUGGCACCACCAGACUGAU